UGAAAGUACACUAAAUUAUACUGUGCUGGUGAGAUAGGGGUGAGUUAGCACCACCGUGUGGCAUGUUUUGGGUAUUAUUUUGUAACUUCAUCGUUUGUUUUGCAAUUGUAUUGAUUUUAUAUUCUUUGUUUUAUAAUAAACGACAUAUAUAUUU
Molecule: long non-coding RNA, 154 nt
Organism: Bufo bufo (common toad)
Lineage: Eukaryota; Metazoa; Chordata; Amphibia; Anura; Bufonidae
Exons: 3
Source: RefSeq, a predicted model, not a curated record